GGUGGAUUAGUGGCGAACGGGUGAGUAACACGUGAGUAACCUGCCCCCGACUUUGGGAUAAGCCCGGGAAACUGGGUCUAAUACCGGAUAUGACUUCCUGCCGCAUGGUGGGUUGUUGAAAGAUUUAUCGGUGGGGGAUGGACUCGCGGCCUAUCAGCUUGUUGGUGAGGUAAUGGCUCACCAAGGCGACGACGGGUAGCCGGCCUGAGAGGGUGACCGGCCACACUGGGACUGAGACACGGCCCAGACUCCUACGGGAGGCAGCAGUGGGGAAUAUUGCACAAUGGGCGGAAGCCUGAUGCAGCGACGCCGCGUGAGGGAUGACGGCCUUCGGGUUGUAAACCUCUUUCAGUAGGGAAGAAGCGAAAGUGACGGUACCUGCAGAAGAAGCGCCGGCUAACUACGUGCCAGCAGCCGCGGUAAUACGUAGGGCGCAAGCGUUAUCCGGAUUUAUUGGGCGUAAAGAGCUCGUAGGCGGUUUGUCGCGUCUGCCGUGAAAGUCCGAGGCUCAACCUCGGAUCUGCGGUGGGUACGGGCAGACUAGAGUGAUGUAGGGGAGACUGGAAUUCCUGGUGUAGCGGUGAAAUGCGCAGAUAUCAGGAGGAACACCGAUGGCGAAGGCAGGUCUCUGGGCAUUUACUGACGCUGAGGAGCGAAAGCAUGGGGAGCGA
This 671-nucleotide ribosomal RNA is filed under the name Glutamicibacter arilaitensis. RNAcentral describes it as "bacterial SSU rRNA". It matches the Rfam family "Bacterial small subunit ribosomal RNA", at positions 86 to 771 of the family's 1533-position model. Lineage: Bacteria; Bacillati; Actinomycetota; Actinomycetes; Micrococcales; Micrococcaceae. The record is from RNAcentral.